UGUAAGCGUAUACCAAAGUUGUUGCAGUUAAAACGCUCGUAGUCGGAAUUUGGCAGUUCCGGAUGUGUGCACGUCGUGUGCGCACUUCGCGGGGAUUGCUUUUGUGGUCUUGCGUAGGAUGAGGCACUUUUAUUAGUGAACGUCCUCACGCAAACACUUUUUACUGUGAGAAAAUCAGAGUGCUCAAAGCAGGCAUUUGCCGUGAAUGUAUUAGCAUGGAAUAAUAGAAUAGGACUUGGUUCUAUUUUGUUGGUUUGUUGGGACUGAGUAAUGAUUAAGAGGGACAGUUGGGGGCAUUUGUAUUUCGGUGCUAGAGGUGAAAUUCUUAGAUUACCGAAAGACAAACUGCUGCGAAAGCGUCUGCCAAGGAUGUUUUCAUUGA
Molecule: ribosomal RNA, 382 nt
Filed under: uncultured eukaryote
Lineage: Eukaryota
Description: partial 18S ribosomal RNA
Rfam family: Eukaryotic small subunit ribosomal RNA
Source: RNAcentral